UUUUGUACAACUCUACAAAAACCUAACAACUAUGUGAGAGUUGGACUCAGCUGAACGUGUCUAAUGAUUUGAGCCGAUGUAUACCAACACUGCCCUUCCUGGUUCGGUUAGUUUGAGUAUUCUGGUUAAGUUAGAUUGUAACGGGUUUGGUCGGUACACCCGGAUAGGAAAUUGUGUUUCCGUCAUGGCGUUAAAGCUUGUGUUUUUAUGGAUGAUUAUGGUGAUACUGAAGAGGAGGAAGAAGAAGAAGAAUCAAGUUUGCUUGUGAGGCAGAGUAACAAGGUUAAGGAUGGUGAGUGAGUCUGCUACUCUAUCAAGUUACAUCACCUUUUCAUAAUACUACAAGGCUAGUGUCCAAGCAAGGCAUGUUGGCAUAACACGCGAAAAUCAGCCCUCACAACAAAUACAGGGAAAAAUUCUGCAUGAAGCUCAGAAAAGGAAAUAGAGCUAAGUUGUUGAAAAUACAAGAAGCUGCAGCCAAGCGUGUGAGAGCAAUUGCACAGGCCCUAUCUCUUCAGGUAAUUUAUGAUGUAUAAAAACAUAUGUCAUCGUCAUAUAUGAAGUUGUUUCUUAUAUAAAUUCUCUUGGCCUUAAACCAGCGCAUGACAGUGGGGAGUCGUGUUUUUUUCUUUUUUGUCGUACCAGGAAGUAAUGUUAAAUUAGUUAGGAACAAUUGAUCGGCAUACAAACAUGCAUGAUGGAUACAACUGAAGUAACCAAACUAUCAAAGUCUUCGAUUUAGAUUUAAAUUCCGCUAGUUCAGCUAAAUUUCCUUAGUCAUGCAAGAUUUGAUCAAUUUUUAAAGCAAAAUGUUGGCUGUCUUCUGUUGGUCUUAAAGGAAGUUGAGCUAUUAAUGCUUUCGAUCUUAGCACCCUUUGUUAUAUGCAUUAACUGCACAAAAACAGUAGCAUCAUGUUGUUAGGUACCUGUACCUAAUAACAUAUGGAUUUUCAAUAUGUUAAUGUGCUUUGUAACCAUGCAUUGGAAGGCUCCUGGUCUUGAAUAAAAAGGCGCAUGUGUGAAAUUGUAAUAGCUAUUUUUUCUUCAGUGGCCUGUAAGUAUUUUGUUCUUAUUACUUAACCGCUGUACAUCUUAUCUCCCGCUUUUCCAACCAUCCUUGGUUUUUUUUUGCUUCUCUGUUACAGCGGGCCGAAUCAAAUGGGCUGGAACCAUCAAUUGUAACUUGUACAGAAGUUAUACAAGCUUUCUUAGGUUUUUUGCUUAUCACCCACUGCCUUUAUCAGAUAUCGAUUGUACUUGUUCUGUCAUCAGAACCUCAUAACCAAUUAUUUAAUGUCCCCGUGUUACUGUUGUACCCAAUUUAUUAUAUACGACAUUCUGUGUUUCU
This is a long non-coding RNA of Papaver somniferum (opium poppy), 1348 nucleotides long. RefSeq lists it as uncharacterized. Lineage: Eukaryota; Viridiplantae; Streptophyta; Magnoliopsida; Ranunculales; Papaveraceae. The record is from RefSeq and is a predicted model, not a curated record. The transcript has 3 exons.